This 484-nucleotide ribosomal RNA is filed under the name uncultured bacterium. RNAcentral describes it as "partial 16S ribosomal RNA". It matches the Rfam family "Bacterial small subunit ribosomal RNA", at positions 28 to 523 of the family's 1533-position model. The record is from RNAcentral.
GACGAACGCUGGCGGCGUGCUUAACACAUGCAAGUCGAACGAUGAACCCGGAGCUUGCUCCGGCGGAUUAGUGGCGAACGGGUGAGUAACACGUGAGUAACCUGCCCUUGACUCUGGGAUAACUGCGGGAAACUGUAGCUAACACCGGAUACGACCCUCGGCGGCAUCGCCAGGGGGUGGAAAGAAUUUCGGUCAAGGAUGGACUCGCGGCCGAUCAGCUAGUUGGUGAGGUGACGGCUCACCAAGGCCACGACGGGUAGCCGGCCUGAGAGGGUGACCGGCCACACUGGGACUGAGACACGGCCCAGACUCCUACGGGAGGCAGCAGUGGGGAAUAUUGCACAAUGGGCGCAAGCCUGAUGCAGCAACGCCGCGUGAGGGAUGACGGCCUUCGGGUUGUAAACCUCUUUUAGUAGGGAAGAAGCGAAAGUGACGGUACCUGCAGAAAAAGCACCGGCUAACUACGUGCCAGCCGCCGCCGUAA